UUUCGGGUCCAAACAGGCACACUCGGUCGCAACCCGCGCGCGGGCCGGACGGUGUUGGGCAUUCGUGUUGUGUGCACACCAUGUGUGCGCCCUGAGGGCGCUCCCUUUCGGUACGAGAGAAGUACUGCGAACGAAUAUCUUCUCCCUUGCGCGUCUGUUUGACUCCUUGGUCCGUGUUUCAAGACGGGUGAAGAUACCCCAUUUUCGAUGUCAACAUUGAGCAUCACUGGAAAGCGGCGCACUCGCUGGCGCGCGGGAAAGGGGUCACCUCGCUCGCACGACAGUGUACACCGCUCUACUCCAGCUCACUUCACCAAUCCCCCGGGCCUGCACUUGGUUGCCGCGGCGGUUUUGAGGUCGCCACGGAUAAUGCUGCGGAGGUGGUUUUGACCAAUGAAAUGGAGGUACUUUCAUUGCCAUUGUCACGACUUCAGGUUCUAUGUCACUCUCUUUCCAAAGUGCUUUUCAAACUUUCGCUCACGCUACUUGUUCGCUAUCGGUCUUCCUA
Molecule: ribosomal RNA, 508 nt
Filed under: Kinetoplastida sp. LDR2000
Lineage: Eukaryota; Euglenozoa; Kinetoplastea
Description: partial 24S ribosomal RNA
Source: RNAcentral